This 253-nucleotide ribosomal RNA is filed under the name uncultured bacterium. RNAcentral's name for it is "partial 16S ribosomal RNA". It matches the Rfam family "Bacterial small subunit ribosomal RNA", at positions 524 to 776 of the family's 1533-position model. The record is from RNAcentral.
UACGAGGGGGGCGAGCGUUGUUCGGAAUUAUUGGGCGUAAAGGGUGCGUAGGCGGUUCCGCAAGUCCUGUGUGAAAUCUUCGGGCUCAACUCGAAGUCUGCACGGGAAACUGCGGGGCUUGAGUGUGGGAGAGGUGAGUGGAAUUUCCGGUGUAGCGGUGAAAUGCGUAGAUAUCGGAAGGAACACCUGUGGCGAAAGCGGCUCACUGGACCAUUACUGACGCUGAGGCACGAAAGCUAGGGGAGCAAACAGG